This 219-nucleotide long non-coding RNA is filed under the name Elaeis guineensis (African oil palm). RNAcentral's name for it is "long non-coding RNA (EGUI_LNC024279)". The record is from RNAcentral. Lineage: Eukaryota; Viridiplantae; Streptophyta; Magnoliopsida; Arecales; Arecaceae.
AGAAGAAAAUAUCUAGCCAAUUUCAAUCCUCCCACUGACUUCAUCAAGUCAGAUUAAAAAAAGAUUUAAUUAAAGCUGGCAUUAGGAGCACCUAAAUCAGUCAAACUGAUUUACCUAAUGACAUGGGUGAGCCCUAAUCAUCAAGUGAUCUAAUCAAAAUCUAAUUCAUCAGGUUGGCUAGGUAAGUGAGAUCAGUGGUGGGAAUAAGCCAUUAACUCG